RNAcentral lists this unclassified non-coding RNA (203 nucleotides) under uncultured fungus. RNAcentral describes it as "sequence contains ITS1". Lineage: Eukaryota; Fungi. The record is from RNAcentral.
UUUUUUUAUUUCGAUAUUUCGUUACAUACUUUGACUAGUGUUUAAAGUGAGCCGCAGAAACCAGACGUCGCAAUCGUAAUGAAACAAUCACUAUUCCGUUUUCCGCCAAAUGAGUGCACAGAGUUAGAAAGUGGGGGUCAGGCCCUACCGAAGUAGACGCCCUAAAUUCACUAAUGAUCCUUCCGCAGGUUCACCUACGGAAA